Molecule: long non-coding RNA, 579 nt
Filed under: Prunus dulcis (almond)
Lineage: Eukaryota; Viridiplantae; Streptophyta; Magnoliopsida; Rosales; Rosaceae
Description: sRNA ncRNA
Source: RNAcentral
GAAAGCAACACCAUCCUGAGAGGAAAUACUUUUACUUUUAAACCAGAAAAUUAAAGGUGAAGUUUCUUCAAUUCACCCACCAAUUCCCAUCGAUCUUAUUGCCUUGUACAUAACCUCAAACACAAAAGUUUACGUUAAUAAGAUAUGACAAGUUUACAUUAGAGUACAAACUUUGUUGUCCCAAAAAACUGAAAAUAAACAGAUAAAAAAAAAGACUCAAAAAACACACCCAAACAAAAAAAAACAAAAAAAAGUUGCCCUCUUCUCAAGAACAAGAAGAGUACAUAAUCUCUCUACAUAUGAUAGAGCUUGGAGUUGACAGGAAAGUGUGGAACCAGAAUCGGCACUGGAGCUUCAGUUUGAACAAAAUUAGGACUCAAAGUCAGAGGCUGCCUCUCUGGGGCUGUGGUAGCUGCUGAUCCUUGGUUGAAUACAAGAGCACCAUGAAGGCAGCAACAAAUUGAUGAUAAAAAUCCCAUCCUCUCUCUCUCUCUCUCUCUCUCUCUCUCUCUCUCUCUCUCUCCAAUUUUAUAAAUCAAAUGCGAGUUUUCUAUAUCAUCAUCCUCCUCCAUCUUAAAG